AUUGAACGCUGGCGGUAGGCCUAACACAUGCAAGUCGAACGAUGACUCACUAGCUUGCUGGUGAUGCUUAGUGGCGGACGGGGGAGUAACAUUUAGGAAUCUACAUAGAAGUGGGGGUUAGCUCGGGCGAAGGCGAAUUAAUACUGCUAACGAAUAACGGGUGCAAGGGGGAGCAAGGGAUCGCUAUAAGUUGAGCCUAAGUCGGAUUAGCUAGUUGGUGGGGUAAAGGCCCACCAAGGCGACGAUCUGUAACUGGUCUGAGAGGAUGAUCAGUCACACCGGAACUGAGACACGGUCCAGACUCCUACGGGAGGCAGCAGUGGGGAAUAUUGGACAAUGGGCGCAAGCCUGAUCCAGCCAUGCCGCGUGUGUGAAGAAGGCCUUCUGGUUGUAAAGCACUUUUAUCAGGAAAGAAAAGCUGAUGGUUAAUACCCAGUAGAUUUGACGUUACCUAAAGAAUAAGCACCGGCUAACUCCGUG
This 480-nucleotide ribosomal RNA is filed under the name uncultured bacterium. Its description in RNAcentral is "partial 16S ribosomal RNA". It matches the Rfam family "Bacterial small subunit ribosomal RNA", at positions 30 to 507 of the family's 1533-position model. The record is from RNAcentral.